GGGCAUCCCGGAGGCAGGAAAGGCUUCGGCCGGACAGGGAUGGGCAUGCGGCGCAUUAGGCAGUAGGCGGGGUAACGGCCCACCUAACCGACGAUGCGUAGGGGUUCUGAGAGGAAGGUCCCCCACACUGGUACUGAGACACGGACCAGACUCCUACGGGAGGCAGCAGUGAGGAAUAUUGGUCAAUGGUCGGGAGACUGAACCAGCCAAGCCGCGUGAGGGAUGAAGGUACAGAGUAUCGUAAACCUCUUUUGUCAGGGAACAAAGGCGGGGACGUGUCCCCGGAUGAGUGUACCUGAAGAAAAAGCAUCGGCUAACCCCGUGCCAGCAGCCGCGGUAAUACGGAGGAUGCGAGCGUUAUCCGGAUUUAUUGGGUUUAAAGGGUGCGCAGGCGGUCUGUUAAGUCAGCGGUCAAAGCCCGGGGCUCAACCCCGGCCCGCCGUUGAAACUGGCAGUCUCGAGUUGGAGAGAAGUAUGCGGAAUGCGCGGUGUAGCGGUGAAAUGCAUAGAUAUCGCGCAGAACUCCGAUUGCGAAGGCAGCAUGCCGGCUCCACACUGACGCUGAGGCACGAAAGCGUGGGUAUCGAACAGGAUUAGAUACCCUGGUAGUCCACGCAGUAAACGAUGAAUGCUGGCUGUCCGGGGGGAUUGACCCCUGGGUGGCGAAG
This 668-nucleotide ribosomal RNA is filed under the name uncultured bacterium. RNAcentral's name for it is "bacterial SSU rRNA". It matches the Rfam family "Bacterial small subunit ribosomal RNA", at positions 186 to 851 of the family's 1533-position model. The record is from RNAcentral.